GCUGGGUACGGUGGCUCAUGCCUGUAAUCCAGAGCUCAGGGGGCUGAGACAGGAGGAUUGUGAAUUUAAAGGCAGACUGAGUCACUUUGUCAAGUCUCUAAGCAACUCAGUGAAAUCCUGUCUCCA
RNAcentral lists this small RNA (126 nucleotides) under Marmota monax (woodchuck). The record is from RNAcentral. Lineage: Eukaryota; Metazoa; Chordata; Mammalia; Rodentia; Sciuridae.